RNAcentral lists this ribosomal RNA (1343 nucleotides) under uncultured bacterium. Its description in RNAcentral is "16S ribosomal RNA". It matches the Rfam family "Bacterial small subunit ribosomal RNA", at positions 28 to 1378 of the family's 1533-position model. The record is from RNAcentral.
GACGAACGCUGGCGGCGUGCUUAACACAUGCAAGUCGAACGGAAAGGCCCUGCUUUUGUGGGGUGCUCGAGUGGCGAACGGGUGAGUAACACGUGAGUAACCUGCCCUUGACUUUGGGAUAACUUCAGGAAACUGGGGCUAAUACCGGAUAGGAGCUCCUGCUGCAUGGUGGGGGUUGGAAAGUUUCGGCGGUUGGGGAUGGACUCGCGGCUUAUCAGCUUGUUGGUGGGGUAGUGGCUUACCAAGGCUUUGACGGGUAGCCGGCCUGAGAGGGUGACCGGCCACAUUGGGACUGAGAUACGGCCCAGACUCCUACGGGAGGCAGCAGUGGGGAAUAUUGCACAAUGGGCGGUAGCCUGAUGCAGCAACGCCGCGUGCGGGAUGACGGCCUUCGGGUUGUAAACCGCUUUCGCCUGUGACGAAGCGUGAGUGACGGUAAUGGGUAAAGAAGCACCGGCUAACUACGUGCCAGCAGCCGCGGUGAUACGUAGGGUGCGAGCGUUGUCCGGAUUUAUUGGGCGUAAAGGGCUCGUAGGUGGUUGAUCGCGUCGGAAGUGUAAUCUUGGGGCUUAACCCUGAGCGUGCUUUCGAUACGGGUUGACUUGAGGAAGGUAGGGGAGAAUGGAAUUCCUGGUGGAGCGGUGGAAUGCGCAGAUAUCAGGAGGAACACCAGUGGCGAAGGCGGUUCUCUGGGCCUUUCCUGACGCUGAGGAGCGAAAGCGUGGGGAGCGAACAGGCUUAGAUACCCUGGUAGUCCACGCUGUAAACGGUGGGUACUAGGUGUGGGGUCCAUUCCACGGGUUCCGUGCCGUAGCUAACGCUUUAAGUACCCCGCCUGGGGAGUACGGCCGCAAGGCUAAAACUCAAAGGAAUUGACGGGGCCCCGCACAAGCGGCGGAGCAUGCGGAUUAAUUCGAUGCAACGCGUAGAACCUUACCUGGGUUUGACAUGGAUCGGGAGUGCUCAGAGAUGGGUGUGCCUCUUUUGGGGUCGGUUCACAGGUGGUGCAUGCCUGUCGUCAGCUCGUGUCGUGAGAUGUUGGGUUAAGUCCCGCAACGAGCGCAACCCUUGUUCACUGUUGCCAGCACGUUAUGGUGGGGACUCAGUGGAGACCGCCGGGGUCAACUCGGAGGAAGGUGGGGAUGACGUCAAGUCAUCAUGCCCCUUAUGUCCAGGGCCUCACGCAUGCUACAAUGGCUGGUACAGAGAGUGGCGAGCCUGUGAGGGUGAGCGAAUCUCGGAAAGCCGGUCUCAGUUCGGAUUGGGGUCUGCAACUCGACCUCAUGAAGUCGGAGUCGCUAGUAAUCGCAGAUCAGCAACGCUGCGGUGAAUACGUUCCCGGG